UUCUCGCGGAUCCCGUACGUAGAGCUGUUGCAUCAAGCGCGCAGCUCUGCAUGCGCCUGUGCGGCAUGACAAGAGUAGGAUAGCCUACGCGCACGUGGCUCGCCCAAUGUGCGUGUCAGUGCGCCAUUCGGGCGCACAGACUUGGGCAGCGCGUGGUGCCUCAAGCCCCGCAUCGCUGCUACAACGUUGGGAGCCGUGCCUCCCCUUGGUCGAUUGACACC
This 221-nucleotide long non-coding RNA is filed under the name Carica papaya (papaya). RNAcentral's name for it is "long non-coding RNA (CPAP_LNC013208)". Lineage: Eukaryota; Viridiplantae; Streptophyta; Magnoliopsida; Brassicales; Caricaceae. The record is from RNAcentral.